Molecule: long non-coding RNA, 1640 nt
Organism: Oreochromis niloticus (Nile tilapia)
Lineage: Eukaryota; Metazoa; Chordata; Actinopteri; Cichliformes; Cichlidae
Exons: 3
Source: RefSeq, a predicted model, not a curated record
GAUGGGUGGAGUGUGGGUACCAGAGACCAAGGACUCCGAGCGCAUGGCGGCAAGCCUCUCUACUUCCUCCGCUAUAAGGGGAAGAGAAAUAAAAAAACAAAACAGAUUUAGUUUAGAAUGGUUUCUUGACAGCGAUCCUUUCACUGAGACCAUUUCUGAGCAGCUUCAGUGAACAGUAGAUGGAUCAGCUGAAGGUCCAGAUGUAUCUCUCAGAUCCUGUGCCAGCUGGACACAACCUGUCCUGCAGUCCUGACCUCUGAGCCACUGAAAAAGCUUCGGCCCAAAGAACACAACAAAGGAUAUCCUGAAGCGUUAAGCAGCUGAAACCCUACUUCAAGCAAGAAUAGGAACAUUUUGCUUUCUAAACAUCAGCGGUCUCCUCGGUUCUUUCAUGCUUACAGAGCUUUUGUUUCAUUUUGUUUUAAAGAAGAAGGAAUGCAGCACAGAGAUAAACAUACCCCAAAGUUUUUUUUUUACCAUAUUGCUGGUAUUAAUUUCACAUUGAUUUAAUAUUUUUCAGGACUCUAAAAUUUCAAAAUAUAAUAGAGCAAAAACACAGUAUUUUUGCACUCCUAACUUUAAAAAAAAAAGGUACAACCUAACUAAAAAAAACAUAAAUUAAAUGAUGUUUCUAUAACACUUUCUACAAGAUGUAUAAAUUGUUAAGUUGCUGUUUUUUUUCCUCAAGGCAUAGUUUUGUGACUCUGUUUAUUUCAUAUUUUGGAUUCUGGUUCAAACUGGUUUCCAUGGCUGCUUUGCAGAUUUUAGGCUAAACAAUCUUACAACUUCCGACUGAGCAGCCUGUCACUACAAAUCUGCUGUUCCCAUUCUCUGCGUAUCUCUCCGUCUCUUCCCAUCUGUCAUUCUCUCACUGCAUUAUUAUCUGCCUCGCUCACUCAUAGUAAGACGGCACCACAUUUCCUUGACACAAUCUAAAGAUAAGAUGGUAAAAGUGCAGCGCUUUGCCUUUUGCACAUUUUUUUUUAAAUUUGCCAUGGGGAAAAUGUGAAGGAUUUUAUGCAACCGAAUCUCAACUCUUUUAUGAAGUUCCUGGCUCCACCUUCAGAAUUAAGCCUUAUCUUUUUUUUUCUCGCAGGCAACAGAGUAAUGUGACAUGAUUAUGUAAAAAUCAACAGACUGCAACACGUGUGAAACAAUGUUAAUUUAUUUAAAACACGAGCACUUGUUAUUUUGUUUGUUUUUGUAAUAAUUGUGCAGAUCCGCACACAUACUAACCGUCUCAGCCACUUAAGCCGACAGAAGUGUUCAUAGAAGUGGUCACUAAGUGUCAGGGAUUGUGAUAACAUGCCUGUAACUACACUCUAGUAAACUGAAAAUAAAAAGCUGCUCACUUCUCAUUUCUGUCAUAUUUCACCCCAUGAGUCCCUUCUUGUCUUGUUUAUCAUGCAAUGUCUCCAUAAGCUUUCUUUAUUGUUAAUUAAACUGAUAAGUUCUGAAUGAAAGGUGCUGCCAGGAUAUGGUACAUGUGGUAGGUGAAGUUAAAUAUAAUUUACUCACUUGCAUAAACUUAACAAAAGCAGCUUGGUAAUUGCUUAAAUAUGAGUAUUACUCACAGUAAAAAGACUUUAGAAAAGUACAUGCAGGUGUUACAUUCUGCACUGUGUUGACACUGCGAUCUG